AAUUUUAUAGUCAAUAUAUGAUAUUAAAUUGCAAAUUUAAAGUAAUAAUUUACAUUAUUAAAAUUU
This 66-nucleotide transfer RNA is filed under the name Amorophaga japonica. RNAcentral describes it as "tRNA-Cys". Lineage: Eukaryota; Metazoa; Arthropoda; Insecta; Lepidoptera; Tineidae. The record is from RNAcentral.